GAUGAACGCUGGCGGCGUGCCUAAUACAUGCAAGUCGAGCGAACAGACGAGGAGCUUGCUCCUCUGACGUUAGCGGCGGACGGGUGAGUAACGCGUGGAUAACCUACCUAUAAGACUGGGAUAACUUCGGGAAACCGGAGCUAAUACCGGAUAAUAUAUUGAACCGCAUGGUUCAAUAGUGAAAGACGGUUUUGCUGUCACUUAUAGAUGGAUCCGCGCCGCAUUAGCUAGUUGGUAAGGUAACGGCUUACCAAGGCGACGAUGCGUAGCCGACCUGAGAGGGUGAUCGGCCACACUGGAACUGAGACACGGUCCAGACUCCUACGGGAGGCAGCAGUAGGGAAUCUUCCGCAAUGGGCGAAAGCCUGACGGAGCAACGCCGCGUGAGUGAUGAAGGUCUUCGGAUCGUAAAACUCUGUUAUUAGGGAAGAACAAAUGUGUAAGUAACUAUGCACGUCUUGACGGUACCUAAUCAGAAAGCCACGGCUAACUACG
This 495-nucleotide ribosomal RNA is filed under the name uncultured bacterium. RNAcentral's name for it is "partial 16S ribosomal RNA". It matches the Rfam family "Bacterial small subunit ribosomal RNA", at positions 28 to 505 of the family's 1533-position model. The record is from RNAcentral.